Molecule: ribosomal RNA, 253 nt
Filed under: uncultured bacterium
Lineage: Bacteria
Description: partial 16S ribosomal RNA
Rfam family: Bacterial small subunit ribosomal RNA
Source: RNAcentral
UACGGAGGAUCCAAGCGUUAUCCGGAUUUAUUGGGUUUAAAGGGUGCGUAGGCGGCUCAUUAAGUCAGGGGUGAAAGACGGCAGCUUAACUGUCGCAGUGCCUUUGAUACUGAUGAGCUUGAAUACAGUUGAGGUAGGCGGAAUGUGACAAGUAGCGGUGAAAUGCAUAGAUAUGUCACAGAACACCAAUUGCGAAGGCAGCUUACUAAAGUGUAAUUGACGCUGAGGCACGAAAGCGUGGGGAUCAAACAGG